This is a long non-coding RNA of Triticum aestivum (bread wheat), 1771 nucleotides long. RefSeq lists it as uncharacterized. The record is from RefSeq and is a predicted model, not a curated record. The transcript has 4 exons. Lineage: Eukaryota; Viridiplantae; Streptophyta; Magnoliopsida; Poales; Poaceae.
GUGCGCAAGAGUGGGCCAUCUUCGUAGCGCCGGGGUCUCUCCGUCACAGGGGGCGUUCACGAGCCGUCGACCAGAACGCGUGGAGUCAUCUGAGCUGUGGUCCACGACGGUAGUCCAGGUCGUUCCGAAAACCUGAGCCAUGGCGACACGAGAACCCUGGGUCCCGUGCUUUCUGCGGCGGCGCGGCAAUGUCGGCCGACGGGCUGGAGUUCCGACGGAUCCCGUUGACCGGUGAGUUUUCCUUUCCCGGUGUUCGUCUUUCGAUUGCUUGUUUGCCUUGGGGGCCCGGAUUUUCGGUCCACGAUUUUGGUGACCGCCCACAGCUCACCACCACCGCCGGUGAGCGGUGACUAUGCUUCGACUCGCACGUUUCCUCCUAGGGAGGAGCUUGCGGACAUCCUGGAACAUCAAGAUCCGGUCUCCCCCAAGCUGCUGCCGCCCCGUGAUGCAAUCCGGCUAUGCCGGCUGAUUCCAAUGUUGGGUCAGGCUGCGCGCGGCAUGAAGGUAACCGCGGCCCCGUGAGGCCGGGAGGGGAAUUCCUGGCAAAAACAACGCUUCUACGACUUCUUCUGCACAAUCCAAUGGGAGGGAGAACCCCGAAGCACUGGGUGGACGAAAAGGUUGCGGCUGGGCAGUGCACCACCAGACAGAAGUGCUGUCGGCCUUCAGUUGUCGGUAUACUGACAUGAUGGUAAAUGCAGGUGUUGAUUAUGGUGGAACAGGGGCUCACGGUGGUACAGAAGUGCAGAAUUUCAUAGAGGGUCAUUUCCAGAGGAAGGGAGUAGACUAAGGCGAGUGGUGCUAGGAAUCCGACAGGUGAUCCGGCGGUGAAGAGUGAGUGGGGAGAGAAGUUCCCUCAUUCCAUCUGACUAAACCAUGACGAGCCAUCGCUUCGGGAUGUUCUUUGGUUCUACGACAACAUGCUGGGUUGUUCUGAGGAAACUUUCGAAGAAAUGGUUUAGGCACGUCAAUCCAUUUGCCGCGGUGAUGUUCGAGCAAGACCUGAAAGGAAGAACUAGGAGAGGAGUUUUCGAUCCUGUGUUGUGUGGUAAGUGUCUCACUGUCUGUGAUCCACCAUUGGAACGUGAUAACAUACAUAGUGCUGUCUUUGACUGGUGUGCACUUCUUCGCAUAUGGUAAUUACCUCCAACCUUGGUCAAGUCAGAUGGCCAACUCAUGACGUACGGCCACUGGACUACCCACUGCCCUGCUGUUGCUGCCUACACUUUUGGGAAGUUAAUAUCUGUUGUCUCUUGAAUGAUCACGUAAAACUAUCUGAAGUGCACUUUCAAACGAAAUAAAAAACUUUUUUGUGAUACAUAUAUACUGCAUGGAGGAUACCAGGGCAUGCAGCUUGCACAUUGCACGACAUUACGACAGCAUAAAACUGAAACUUCCCUUGAUGAAGUACAAUAUGAUGAACAAACUUAAGAGGCAAGCCCUCCACGAGUGUCUGAAGUUACAAGGAAACACCUCGACGUUGGCACGCGAGGCAUUGUGGGCAGUCCUAGCACCUGGUGACUCUUACUUCGUAUGAAACCCUCUUCUGCCUGAAAACAUGUCCUGGAAGCGAACUUCCUCUAGCAGAUUGUCCCAUGCGCCUUACCUAAUGUACCAUCUUAGGCAUUACUACGAUCUCCACUGACCAUCAUUUUAAGAUGUUGUAUCGAACAUUUGAGCCUAGUAUAUUGCUUUUUGCUCACUUCGUAGCUUGUUUUUUAGAUUCAUGCAAGGAACAAUCACUGUUUUACAAUCAUCCUUCAGUGUACUC